RNAcentral lists this ribosomal RNA (392 nucleotides) under uncultured bacterium. Its description in RNAcentral is "partial 16S ribosomal RNA". It matches the Rfam family "Bacterial small subunit ribosomal RNA", at positions 523 to 918 of the family's 1533-position model. The record is from RNAcentral.
AUACGGAGGAUCCGAGCGUUAUCCGGAUUUAUUGGGUUUAAAGGGUGCGCAGGCGGCCAUUUAAGUCAGCGGUUAAAUCGUGGGGCUCAAUCCCAUUCUGCCGUUGAUACUGGGUGGCUUGAUUGCGGUCGAGGUUGGCGGAAUUCGUUGUGUAGCGGUGAAAUGCAUAGAUAUGACGAAGAACUCCGAUUGCGAAGGCAGCUUACUGGACUGUAACUGACGCUGAUGCUCGAAAGUGUGGGUAUCAAACAGGAUUAGAUACCCUGGUAGUCCACACAGUAAACGAUGAAUACUCGCUGUUUGCGAUAUACAGUAAGCGGCCAAGCGAAAGCAUUAAGUAUUCCACCUGGGGAGUACGCCGGCAACGGUGAAACUCAAAUGAAUUGGCGGGG